GGAGAGAUACUCAAGUGGCUGAAGAGGACGGUUUGCUAAACCGUUAGGGGGUCUUACUGGCCCCGCGAGGGUUCGAAUCCCUCUCUCUCCGCCA
This 94-nucleotide transfer RNA is filed under the name Thermoactinomyces intermedius. RNAcentral's name for it is "tRNA-Ser". It matches the Rfam family "tRNA". Rfam says of the family: Transfer RNA (tRNA) molecules are approximately 80 nucleotides in length. The record is from RNAcentral. Lineage: Bacteria; Bacillati; Bacillota; Bacilli; Caryophanales; Thermoactinomycetaceae. RNAcentral also lists the same sequence under 9 other names.